AGAUAGGUAGUUUAAGUAAAACUUUUGGUUUCGGCCCGUUUAUUUUUGGUUAUAGUCCAAACCUUUCUU
Molecule: transfer RNA, 69 nt
Filed under: Neogymnocrinus richeri
Lineage: Eukaryota; Metazoa; Echinodermata; Crinoidea; Cyrtocrinida; Sclerocrinidae
Description: tRNA-Arg
Rfam family: tRNA
About the family: Transfer RNA (tRNA) molecules are approximately 80 nucleotides in length.
Source: RNAcentral